AGUCACUGACAUUAGAUACCCGGGUAGUCCCAGCCGUAAACAAUGUGCGUUAGGUGUGUCGGUAACCACGCGUUACUGAUGCGCCGAAGAGAAAUCGUGAAACGCACCACCUGGGAAGUACGGUCGCAAGGCUGAAACUUAAAGGAAUUGGCGGGGGAGCACCACAACAGGUGGAGCCUGCGGUUUAAUUGGAUUCAACGCCGGACAUCUCACCGGAUAAGACAGCUGAAUGAUUGUCAAUCUGAAGGUUUUACAUGACUAGCUG
RNAcentral lists this ribosomal RNA (265 nucleotides) under uncultured archaeon. Its description in RNAcentral is "partial 16S ribosomal RNA". It matches the Rfam family "Archaeal small subunit ribosomal RNA", at positions 719 to 982 of the family's 1478-position model. The record is from RNAcentral.